Molecule: unclassified non-coding RNA, 321 nt
Filed under: plant metagenome
Description: partial contains 5.8S ribosomal RNA, internal transcribed spacer 2, and large subunit ribosomal RNA
Rfam family: 5.8S ribosomal RNA (bases 1-105)
Source: RNAcentral
GAAAUGCGAUAAGUAAUGUGAAUUGCAGAAUUCAGUGAAUCAUCGAAUCUUUGAACGCACAUUGCGCCCGCCAGUAUUCUGGCGGGCAUGCCUGUUCGAGCGUCAUUACAACCCUCAGGCCCCCGGACCUGGCGUUGGGGAUCGGCGGAAGCCCCACUGCGGGCACAACGCCGUCCCCCAAAUACAGUGGCGGUCCCGCCGCAGCUUCCAUUGCGUAGUAGCUAACACCUCGCAACUGGAGAGCGGCGCGGCCACGCCGUAAAACACCCAACUUCUGAAUGUUGACCUCGAAUCAGGUAGGAAUACCCGCUGAACUUAAGC